Molecule: ribosomal RNA, 253 nt
Filed under: uncultured bacterium
Lineage: Bacteria
Description: partial 16S ribosomal RNA
Rfam family: Bacterial small subunit ribosomal RNA
Source: RNAcentral
UACGUAGGGCGCAAGCGUUAUCCGGAAUUAUUGGGCGUAAAGAGCUCGUAGGCGGUUUGUCGCGUCUGCCGUGAAAGUCCGGGGCUCAACUCCGGAUCUGCGGUGGGUACGGGCAGACUAGAGUGAUGUAGGGGAGACUGGAAUUCCUGGUGUAGCGGUGAAAUGCGCAGAUAUCAGGAGGAACACCGAUGGCGAAGGCAGGUCUCUGGGCAUUAACUGACGCUGAGGAGCGAAAGCCUGGGGAGCGAACAGG